This 363-nucleotide transfer RNA is filed under the name uncultured Microcystis sp. RNAcentral's name for it is "partial miscellaneous RNA". The stretch from base 135 to 208 matches the Rfam family "tRNA". The record is from RNAcentral. Lineage: Bacteria; Bacillati; Cyanobacteriota; Cyanophyceae; Chroococcales; Microcystaceae.
AAGGGAGACCUAAUUCAGGUAGGAGACGAAAAAAAAGUAGUCCCUACCGAGAAUCAAUCCCAAAAGGUCGGAGCGAGGCAAAAUUGGCUUUCAAACUAGGUUCUGGGUUCACACAAGACCUGAAUCAGGAACAAGGGCUAUUAGCUCAGGUGGUUAGAGCGCACCCCUGAUAAGGGUGAGGUCCCUGGUUCGAGUCCAGGAUGGCCCACCUGUACAGGUGGCAAAAACAAAGAAAAGAAGCGAGGAAUCAGCACCUUAUCUUACUUAUAUAGUAAGAGAGAAUGCUGGCUCUGAGUAAAGAGUCCAGAGGAACCUUGAAAACUGCAUAGAGCUAGGUGAAAAAGCCAAAAAAGAAGACCGCAA